Molecule: long non-coding RNA, 38696 nt
Filed under: Ananas comosus (pineapple)
Lineage: Eukaryota; Viridiplantae; Streptophyta; Magnoliopsida; Poales; Bromeliaceae
Description: long non-coding RNA (ACOM_LNC025351)
Source: RNAcentral
UUAAAUUCAAAUGCCUUCAUUUCAUUUGACUAAUCAUACACUUACCUUCUGCUUCUCUUGGAAUCGCAUAUUUGAUGCUCAUUACGAUUUGUGGUGAACUGCAUUAAUCUGCUCUGCUGCUCCGUUUAUUUCAGGUUUAAUUUUUUUUUACCGAGAAUAGCUAUUCAGAUUAAAACCACGUGUAGAAUAAGGCAUGAGAAUACGUGACACGUAUUGUUUGAUGGGUCGGUAUUAUAAUGGAGAUCAAGACAUUUGGUGAUUACUUUUAACUUAAAAAUUCAUACAUAUACUUGAAAUAUGCAUCCAAGUUGAAAAGAUUAAAUCAAUUACUAACUUAUACACAUAUGAAAUACUGAUUUAUCAACAAUAUCUGAGGAAUCUUUUGAAGGGACGUAUAAUUUGAUUGGAAUUUUUGGGCUGUUUGUUUGGUGGGGACCUGGGUGAUUUAAUAAUUCAAGCAACCAAUGAUGGAAAGCAUCUUAAUUAUAAAGUGGCUCCAGCUACAAAGAUUGACACAAGAGAAGUCAUAGUUUGGGCCCAUUACGUAAUCUUUUACUUUACCUUGGGGAAAACAACUCCAUUAUAUUAUAUGGAGGGGAUCAUGCGAUUGUUAACUUACCUACAAGUUUUGCUUAUUAGAAAAGUACUGUUGAGUGCAGGUUCCUCCAAGUUUAGGAACUAUUAUCUAAUCAUAUUUUGAGGAGAUGAUGCAUGCGCUGAGUUGUCGGUUCUUUUAGCACUAUGCUUAAUAGAACUAACCGAUAUUCUGCUGUUUGAGUAGUGCUAUUUGAAGAAACAUUUUAUUAAUUUAAACUCUAUAUAUUGGUCAGUAAAGUUUCACAAUUAUCCUUUGCUUUUUUUGGUUGGACAAUUAAUAUUUCAACUUCCUGAAGCUAUUUCGCUUGGUCCUCGUCUUCAUCUACUUAAAAAGUAAAUAAAUAAAUAAAUAAAAUCUUCGCGUCCAUUACAACUGUACAGUAAUGAAUUUUGCAUUUAGUGGCCCUCAAUCAGUCGCAUCUCGUUGCAGUUGAUUUGGGCUCAUUUUAGCUACCUACCUGCUGUAGCUGAAUUUCUAAAUCAUUCUGUUUGCCAAAUGCUCUACUGCGUGUCGAUGUCUCGAAUCAAUAGCCGCGCAUCUCCUCGGACCGAGCUACGGCCAAUAAUGGGCCUAGAAAAGGCCCAUAACUUGUAGGCCGAGUAUCUCCUCGGACCGGGCUACGGCCCAUAACUUGUAGGCCUAGUUUUUUCUUUAUUUAUAUAUUUAUUUUCUCUGAUUCAAACAUUGUUCAAAACAUACAAACUCGAAUGGUCAAAUAUCAAGCGCCUGGACAGCUAAUCUCAAAUUGUUGUUAGAUAAGAAGAAUCUUAAUCUUAAUUUAUUUAUAUUACUCAAAAUAUUUAUAUAUUAAAAUAUAAUUAAAAUUUUGACUCGACUUCGAUUUAUUUAACCUCUGACUCUCUCAGAAACAUGAAUUCAAACCGGGUUUUGGGUUGGGUCGGUUCGGAGGAGGAAAAAUCGAGCUUGACCGUGCGCUGCCGCCGCCUUAUCUGGACCGGUCCCUUCAGACUACUUCCCCCACCAAAACUUGCACGGACUCGGUUCAUCCGUGCAUUCCGUGCACCACCCCCACUCUCACACUAUUUUGAUCCCAAUCUUUUUUUAAAAAGAAAUUUUGUUAGAGAUUAUAUAGAAUAGAAAAAUAAAAUACCCACUGAAACUUUCAAACAAAAUAGGAAUCACUGUGAGGUGCGUUUAUUUAACUGAAAAUAAAGACGAAUAAAGCAAUUUUUGGUCGUAAAUAUUUACUUUCGCUGUUUGAUUUACUGUAACUUUACAUUCGACUAAAAUCAAAGUGUUCCACGACAAUAUAAUUAACUUUUGGCCCAUUUUAGGCUGAAGUGAAUUACGAAAAAAAUAAUAAAAAAAUAUCGAACAAGCAAAAAAAGAAAAGCUAAAGAAAUUUUAGUUUCUUAUACAAAUAAAUAAUACAAGAGGAUUAACUUUUAUCUAAAUUUUAGUUUCUCUGAAAGUAUGUUUUAGACUGAAUUUUAUUUUUCAUGAAACAAGCAGAUCUUAAACUAUUUAAUCGAAACUGAAAUAUAAGAUAUUAAUCAUAUGAAGAACUGCACAUGAGGAGCGGUGCACAGGAUGAACAUAUACACCCGGUGCACGCAAUAAACUCCUCCGUACCUACCCCCCUCCUCCGCUCCAUCACUAUAUAUGUAGCGGGGGAUUCGCGUCUCCUCCCCACGCCCAUUCUUUUUGGCUCUUUCGCUUUUUAACAUUUUACGGCCCCUUUAUAAGACGCCAUGGCUGAGGUAAGCUUCUCCUCUCCCUCUCCCUCUCCCUCUCCCCUAGGGUUUCAGAUCUAUAUCCCUGUUCCUAAAUUCCACCGUUUUCUUCGGAUUUGCGCCUUCGAUUCCUUAUUAUUGUUGUAUUUCAUCUGAAUUGUGAUCAAUUACGGACAAAUUGCAUGGUGUUGUUGGUUGAUUGGACGAAUUCAUCUUAAUCUCUUGCUACCUUUCUUCUUGAUCGUUGAUCUGUUGUAAGCUAGCUUGCGGAAGUUUCAGUUUGUGCAUCGGAUUUGAAUUGUUUGACGAGAGAUGUAUAGUGGAAUGCGUAUGUGUAUGCGUCUGAUUAGGGAUGUGAUUUUUGGGAAAAAAAAGUUUUCGCCUUGCGAGUAUAUUUAGGUCCAAUCAAAGGGUUUCGAGAUUUUAGAUUAGAUGGGUUUUUACUCCUCCUUUUUUUUUUUUUUUUUUCCUGCUCCUUUCUCCUUCUGAAUCUGAGGCCUGAUGCAGCUUUGGCAAGGUGACAACUUCUGAUGAUGCACCUUUUGCUUAUCUGUAUGAUGCAAUGGUUGGCUUGGAAAUUUCUGAGUCACGAACAGUGAAAAGUAUCCCUAAGGAGAAUUUCAGUUCUUCUGGUUAUCCCAAUUGUGAUUGAUAGGAAUUGAGGGGAUUAGAAGGGAUAAAGAGGGGAUAGAACAAGUCCAGCGUACUCCCGUGAAUUAUAUCCUGGGGAUAAAUGUGCAUUUCGGAUAUUUUCUUGCAUUUAAUUUCAAGUGAGAAUUUCAUAUCUCAUUGUGUUUGGAGGGAUAGAUGGGAUAUCUACCGCUAUCGCAACCUUAUUCCCCAAGCAAACUCUAGCUAAGAGGAAAAGAGGUAGGAUAAGAGAUUGACAUCUAGGCAUUUCCCCUCCCUUCCUCGGUGUUUCUCAUGGAGUUGUUGGAUUUAGCCUUGGGAAUGGAUCUUAAUAACGAUUAGGGGAUUCUCCUCUCACUUGUUGAGAAGAAUGUUUACUUAUGCUAUUCAGCUGUUCACGUUGCGUAGAUGCUCAGUCAUGCAUACUUAUUCUUGGCAAACUAUUUGUUUUCUUUUAAGGUGUUUAUGAUAAAAAAACUAUAUUGGAUGAAAAUGUAUUGGGACCCCCUCAACUAUAGGCCUGUUUGGAAUAAAUUCUUUAAUUAUUUUUCUUUUCAUUUGCACACCCUCAACUUUUGACUUUUCUGAUUUAAAUUAGUUUUAGGUAAAAAUGUGUAGAGACCCUUUCAACUAUAGGAUGCUUUAAAAUAGAUCCCUCAACUCUAUUAUUAUCUUUUAUCAAUGACCCCUCAACUUCUCAUUUUGUUUGAUUUGAGUUGAUUAACCAUUUGAGUUAAAGAAUUUUAAAUGUAACAGCUUGAUUAGCUAUUAAUCAUUAACAGUAAAUGAAAUCAUCAGUUCCAUUAACUGAAAAAAUCCUCAAAACAUGCUAGGAUUACUGCUAAAUUUUUCUAAAUCUUUAGUUAUUUAAUAAAAAUAUGUACCAGCAAGAAUGACGGAUUUAAUAUUUUUGUGUCAUUGAACAUUUUGUACCAAAGGAGUAUUCUACUUUUACUGUCACUUGAAAGUGUCUUAAUGAAAAUUUUCUUCAUUUGUUAUCUUCUGCAGACUGUUGUCCUCAAGGUUGGUAUGUCCUGCGAAGGUUGUGUUGGAGCUGUUAAAAGGGUCCUUUCUAAAAUGGAAGGUUGGUUCCCCGCGUUCUUGUGUCUUUUAAUAGUUUAACAAUUAAUAUGAAGUUGGUGUAAGUAGCUGCUUACAGACUGUUGUCCUCAAGUUUUCUUGGGCAUAUGCCAUGUGGUCUAACCGUACUAAACAUAAUUUUUACAUUGAGAAACAUGGAGAGAUCUCCUCUCUCCCCAGAUUUACUUAUACAUGCAAAUAUUCAUGUUUGUGGGAAGAAAUUUUAGGUUGGGUCUUGUAUUGGCUGUACCUUCAGCAUGUGCAUAAACAGCUAAUGGAGAUCUACUGCUGUUUGUGAUUUUUUUUUAGGUGUUGAAUCAUUUGACGUCAACCUCACAGAGCAGAAGGUAACUGUAAAGGGCAAUGUGAAACCAGAAGCUGUUCUACAAACUGUGUCAAAGACGGGGAAAAAGACUUCGUUCUGGGAAGCAGAAGCUGAAACCAAAGAAGCAGCUGCUGCUGUCACUGCUACUGAAUGAUACUUCACAUGACCAAUUAUACUAAGUUGGUGGGUUGAUCUCAAUAUGAGAAAUUGUGUACGAUGUUUCUAAAGUUCAGCACUCUGUAUGAGUCAGUACAGUUUGCCUCUGAAACAUAACAGAUGAGUUUCCACACUUAAAGUAUAUCAAUAAGAUAGUAUAAACUGUUAUUUAAUGUCUUAUUGUAAGUGCGCUGCAAAUAAUCGUCAUACUUUGCUAUUCUUGUCUCAUUGUUGAUUCCUAUGUUGGGUUCAAGUGCCCUAAUGGUGUUAGGGACUUGCGGUACAAAUGGUUCAGAGCUUUCUUGCUUAUAUGGGAAUAAAGAGUGAGAAUAGGAUACAGUUGGUGUCCGAACUUAAGCCUUCUCAACCCUAUUUUUAUUAAGAUUAUUAUGGUAUUUUUUGAUUUAUGAACUGUUAAAAUUCAGUGAAGAGUUUGUCUGUCUUUAGCUACAUCGGCUAUAUGGGGUUUUAACCGUAGAAUGGUCGUCAUCCAUUCUCACGUUCUUAGCCUUCACCUAUACGGUAAAAAAGGUAUAUUGGCACACUGUAUUUUAAAUCAACUAUGCGUUUGUUCGGAUUCCUCUGUUAGUGUUUAAUUUGAUUGACAUUGAAGCGAUAAGAAAUGCAUAGCAUAGUAAUAAAAAGGGGAGGAGAAUGCCCCUGGAGGUAGUACUCGUAUCAGAUGAGCUCAUAGUCUUGCGAGAGCUCGGAUGCGGGAGUUGGCGGGCAUGUAGAACUCUGCAGCAGCCCGAGCUUCAGUCUGUCGAUUUCCGCCUUAAAUCGCCUGUCCGCAACAGCUUUUAGUUCGUUAUUGGCGAGUUUUGAUUUUGAGCACUUAACUGCAUCCAUCUCUCUCUCUCUCUCUACCGUAAUUUCCCUCUUCCCCUAAGAAAAUUCUGUGUAACAGAUAUUCCAUCUAACAAUAUGAACAAACACCCAACAUGCUCUAGACUCAUAAUACAAGAAUCAAACUAUACUCCUUCACAUCACACCCUGAAAUCACAAUCACCAUAGUACAUGCAGGUAGCAAAAGGAAUAUCAGCUCAAAGAGAGGACUUCUUCCUGCUUCCUCGUUCGCCUGCAUGACAGCCAUUCAGCCAUGCGACAAAUGACAGAAGCAAUCAUCCCCCAAUGACAGAAGCACUGCUACACUAUUUCCGCUACUGUUCAAUGCUAUUAUAUUUAGGCUAAAUUACAGAAAACCCCCCUGUAAUAACCCGCUUUUUCACUUUCCCCCCUUGACAUUUAAAAACCUACACUUUGCCUCCUUUUAAAAUGAAAAAUGUGCACUUCACCCCUAACGUUAGGGUUCCGUCAGGGGUUCUGUUAAAAAAUAUUUUUUUAUACUGAAAAUACCCCUCUGCCUCUUCUCUGAUGCUUCGCUCCCUCCGGCUCGCCGCUUCGCCGCCUCGCCGCCUCGCCAUCCUCCACUGCUUCGCCCUCGCCCACAACUGCUUCGUCCUCCUCCGCCGCCUCGCCUUCGCCCUCGUUGUCCCUGCCUACCUCUCCAUCAACACCCAUCUUAGUACCUUCCCUACUGUCGCCGAAAUCGAUGGGCGACGACGAUGUAGGAGGAGAAGGGGAGCAGGUGGAGAAGAAAUUGGAGAGGAAUCGUGGCCGAUUGAGGUGGAAAUAGCGGCGGAUCGAAGGGGCGGCUGAGGAAGCUCAGGAAGAAGACAACAAUGGCGAGGGGCAAAAUCGUCAUUUUACACACCGUAACCCCCCUGUGAACAUUUUUCAUUUUACAAGGGGGCAAAAUGUAGGUUUUUAAAUAUCAGGGGGGAAAAGUAAAAAUGCGGGUUAUUACAGGGGAGUUUUCUGUAAUUUAGCCUCAUAUUUAUGAUAAUAAAGCUUCAGAACAGAACCCUAAGCGACAUAAGAAUUUAUCAGAAAAGAAAAUUCUUCAAAGAAAUACCUCAAAUCUUCACUGUCGUUGAUAAAUAAAACAAUCGACAAAAACAUUUACUGCUAUCCUCGUCGUCAGUUUGUCCAAAAGUUCUUCACUCUCCAAUACAUUAACAAGGCACAAUAUAAGCAGUCACAGCGAGAUGUAAAUCAGAUCUUAAAGCACAGUUAUCAGGCUCAACAAACAUUUCCAAACACCACAUAACGACUUGGCCUUUUAGACCAGUUUCAGUUUCGGACGAUAGUUAAACUGUCCAGAACGCAAAACUUGGCAAAUGCUUCUCUCUCAAACAACAUCAAUAAUCGGAUGGUGCGAUCACAUCGUCAAUCUUAAGGAUCAUUUUCACCACCUGUGUUGCCAGCAAGAUUUGCUGCUGUUUUCCGAUCAAAGUCUCGAAUACAUUCUGCUCUUUCAUGUCAUUUGUCCCGACAUCGUUGCAAUCGAUGCCACAGAACGGAUUGUUUUCCUGCAUCAACCGAACCAAGAGCUUAGAAAAUUGAAGGAACACUAUAAAGGGGGAAAACACACACACACAGUUAAUUAUAUCUAUGAAAAUAAUUGGUAUGUUGAAACUAAAAGAAUUACAGAGAUUGGUAGACUAAUAUAUGAUUUUUAAACACUGAAGUCCAACAUACAACAGAGGUGAACAUCAAAUUUUGAAUUUAUACGCCGAACUUCAAAACUACUUUAAGACCAUUCAUCAGGGGAAAAAGACAAAUCUAUUAUGAAGUUGCAGAGGAUUCGAAUAUAUAACAAAUGUAGUAGAAAGAUAUUACCACAAGAAGAAUUAGUAAUCAAUACCUUGACUUGCUGAGAUUUGACUGCAGUCAGAGUAUUAAUAGGUUGCAGGCCACUGUUCUCUGCUAGAGCCAAUGGUAUUGAAUCUAAAGCUUCAGCAAAUGACCUGAUAGCAUACUGCAUAAACAGAAGUACAAUAGCGAAUCAAGUCUGCCGUCCUUUAAGAUAUAAUUUGAAGGCCAUUUUACCCCAGAAAAACGAAACGAAAAUAAGAAGUCUUUUUCUAUUUACACAACUUUCGACCAGAGCAUCUUUUCAAAGGCUAAAAGGCCCCUGUCAUUCAUACAAAGUAGCGCUGGGUGUAAUUCAGUCUAUAAAGGAAAAUUUCGGACAAAAAUUGCAAAAACUGAAAAAGUCGACAAGGUUUAAAAAAAAGGGAAAAAAAAAUGGAACUAAAAAAAAUCCAUAUGUUGAAUGCUAAAUAAUCACCUGCUCAACUCCAGGAUAUCGAUCUGCAGCAGCAUCAACAGCAAUAGAGCAAGAGAUCUCAGCUGAGCCACCACCAUAAACUAUGGAAUUGUUACGAAUCAGAUUCCUUGCAACGCAAAGUGCAUCAUGAAGACUACGUUUUGUCUCCUCAAUCAUCAUCUUGUUGCCUAUACCAUCACAUUUUGUAAUUUCAUAAGAUCAGUUAUGCAGCACUCAGGAUAAUUUUCUCGCACCACAACUUUCAAAAACCAGUAUAAAUGUUCAAAAUGUAACUUAGACAUGUUAUUUCAUGGUCGACAAUGAUAAUAUGCUCAAUUGCAUGACAGGGCAUCACAUUGGGGCUAUUCAAACAUACCACCACGAAUGAAAAUGGUUACAGCCCUGGAAUUUGCACACUGUUCAAUGUACAGCAUACGAUCUUUUGUUGUUCCGAAAGACUUCUCUCUCACCAAUCCGGCCUGAUCAAGUACAUCAAAUAAGAGUAAUCUGUUUAAAUGAUAAUUGCACAGUUAAUGGUAAUCAAAAAAGAAUUAGAACCAAGAUUUCAAUAUAAGGGAUUCAACACCAAAGUAAAUUGUUAGCCUUCAAAAAUAUCAAAAUCUGAGGUGAAUAAAUUGCAAAAAUAAAUCUACCUUCCCCAACUUUUCUGGUGUCAACUCUUGGAAUCUGGGAACUAUUCUUCCACCUGCAUGUGGCCAACAGGGGAAAUUCCUCAGGCUCUUAGCAAACUCUUCCAUCUACAGGAAAAGGAUGAAUAUGGUUACCUGUAGCUAUUGCAAUCAAUUCCAGUUCAACACCGCCAACCCAUCUGACAGCUGGCAGAUUCCUAUGCAUUAACAGAUGAUUUGCUUCAUCAUCAAAGCCCCAUUGACAAAUAACUAGAGUUGCGCCAACAUCCUACAAUGAUUCAAAAAUAGAACAAGCGAGAUCAGCAAAUAAGUCACUCUACAAGUUAAAAAAGAAUAGAUAGCUCGGUACCCCAUAUGACAGGAUAAUAAGAACUUUCAUCUUCAGUUUUAAUUGAUAAAUAUCACUCCCCCCACCCCCCCACCCCCCCAACCCAAAAAAAAGAAAAAAAAACCAAACAAAAAACACAACCCCCACCCCCCAACAACAAAAAGAGAAAAAGAAAAACUGUCCAUGAAAUCAAAACUACAACACCACAAACACAAUUGAGUAUACUAACACCAUAAUUGUGCUAGCUUAAACUCUCAGAAUUCAAAAGAUCAAAUGCAUAAAUUAUAGACACUUGCAUUUUCUAAUGGCUCAAAAAAGAGCAGCUUUUUACCUUGCAUUUCUGAACCAUAUCAUCAAAGUACUGCUGUUCUUGCUGACGCAAAGUUUGAAACUUCUCUACAGUGUCAAUGUCAACCUUAUGCUUAGUCUUCGGCUUCGGUGGCUCAAAUGGGCAAGUCAAAAUAGCAAUCUUCGCAUUUUCAAUUCUUUUUGGCAUCUGCGGAUGGCUCAUGUCCUUGUCAACAACAAUACCAUAGAUGAGCUCAGUGUCUUCCAGCUUCCCUCCAACCUUUCCUUCAACUUUAAUUAAGUCUAAGUUCACAUCUUUCCUGUCUAAAUCAGCAACUGCUAGAACUGCCUUAACAGCGAUCUCAGCUAACAUACACUUACAGCGGUUAACACUGUAGAACAUAUUGAAUGUACAUCAGGCAAGCACAUCAUUGUCAAGUAGAAUUCCAGAAUUGCAUUUUGAUACUAAAGCACGUCAUUGUGAAGUAGAACUCCAGAAUUGCAUUUUAUACUAAAGCACGUCAUUGUGGAGUAGAACUCCAAAAUUGCAUUUUUAUGCUAUGUGAUAAGAUCACUCUUAGAAAAUAUAUAUGCCAAAAGAGAUGAGUGAAAAGCAAAACUGUCAAUGUGCCCAAAACACACAAGACAUCCCUCAGAAGGAAGACAGCCAGAAAAUUGGCAAUUUGUGUACAGAAAUAACUCCAAUCUCAGUAUUGGUCAAUUAUGUAUGUAGUCUAACCACAAUAAACAGUAAAAUCUAUGAGAUACAUGUUGUAUUGAAAAGCGAACUUCAAAACGCCAAAAAAAAAAAAAAAAAAUCCACAAUGUUACCACAAAUGUGUCUUAAUCUAUUUAUGAAGCUUUCCAGGGAGUUUUGGCAUCCUACUACAUGCUUUGUUUUCUUUCUAAGACAAUUCUAGCAAUAUGGUGGUAAUCAAAAAGGAUUGCAACUAAUUUACAUUUGACAAGAAAUGGCCACAUAAGAAAGUGAAGAACAAGUACAUUUUCUUUGUUAUGACAUAAAAGUUACAUCUGGAAGAAGUGAAAUCAACCAAGCAGCAAAUAAAAGGUAAGCAAGACCCUACUCAAGAACAAUGACAAAUAAUUGUGAAAUCCAAAGCAUCAGUCCGCCAUAUUGUUGGUUUUGUUAGAGCAUUACGAUAAUACGAAAACCAACAUUAAUCAUCUUUCUAAUCACAAAAAAGAACUGAAGGAAAAAAAAUUCUAAAAUAAAGUAUCAUUGACCAUUCUACGAACUGUGGAAGAAUAUUGAAGCAGACUUACAUUUUCGAGGACAAAGUUGUCAUGCACGUCUGAACCAAAGGCUCUAUAUCAGUCGCACUGAAUUCAAACUUUUGAGAGAUACGCUCAAGAUGCUCAAAAGCAAUCCUGGAGGCCAUCUCAUAACCCUCAGCAAUCCUAAUAGGAUGGAUACCACGUUCGAGUAGCUUUUCGGCCUGUUCUAAAAGAGCACCAGCCAUAACAACAACUCCAGUUGUACCAUCACCAAUUUCAUAGUCCUGACUACGAGAUAAUUCCACCAUCAGCUUUGCAAUCUGAUUGUCAACAUCCAUUUGCUCCAAGAUUGUUGCCCCAUCAUUUGCUAUUGAUGCAAGAAGAUCAGCGAAUUGCACAAUAUAAAAUUCGAACAGGAUUUGCUUCAAGCUAUUAUCUCACAAUGAAUGGAUCUAAUGAGCAACAGUAAGAAUCCAAUCUACGAAAUAACUUAGUAGAUUUGAAGAACAAUACUGAAACAGUUUUAUAUAUGCAUAAUUGUUACGAACAAUUAACUGAGAUACUACACGAUAUCAACAUAGUUAAUCCAAUCUGAUGGAAAUAGAUAUUACUCAUACGUCCCAGAGGUUAAAAGAGAAAGAAAACGCUACAGAUUAGCAAUGAAGUGUAUUAUCAUUCAUUCCUAAGGCCUAGAAAAAUCAAAUCUUUAGCAUCCCACCCGAUUCCUCCUACACCUAAACUGACUCAAACUAGAUCCACUUACAUUCCAAGUAAACAAGACAAUGCUAACCACAACAAGUUAGAUGAGCCGAUUACUUCAAAUCCCCAACACACCCAUCUCUCCGUUUCUAGUCCUUCCACAUCCACACAUCAUGCCUUAAAAAGAAGGUAAAAAUAUAAUGCGACUCCCCAACAAUUGGCCAUUUUGAAAUAAGCCCCUCAGCUAAUUUUUCUUUUAGUGGGUUUGGCACCCCCCUGAACUACUAAUUUUUAAGACUAGAAUCAUUUUUGUUAGUUUAGGGGCUGUUUGAUUUGACGUAAAACUGGAAAAAAAAGUUCUCGGUGGAAAAAAAUUUUCAAUGGAAAAAAAGUUUUACGUAGUUUGGUAUUUGGUUAAUUUGUAGGAAAUGAUAAAAAUUUUUUCAAUCACGAUUGUUUGGUUGAAAGGAAAAAAUAUAUAUAUAAAUAAAUAUUACUAUAUAUUUUAUAUAUUUUAUAUUAUUAAUAUAUAAUUAUUAUCAUAUUACAUUUAUAAAUAAAAUAUAUUUAAAAUAUAUUAUGUAAUAAUUAAAUAUGUCAUAUAAUAUAUAAUACUAUAAAAUAAAUUAUUAGAUAUAAAAUAAAUAUGUCAUAUUUUUUGGCGUCAUUUUCGUUUUCCGGUCGUUCCAAGCGGCGAGCGGAAAACGAAAACACCAUUUUUCCGUGGAUUCGUAAAAGAAAUUUUCCGAAAAAAUUUUUUUACGAGCAAACAAACACUCGGAAUCUUAUUUUUCUACCGAAAAAAAAUUUUCGGGGUGAUUUUACGACGAAACAAACAUGCCCUUAAGUAAUUUUCUUAAAUUUGAUAGCUUUAUUAAUUAUUAGCCAUUAAUAUUGGGAGUUCAAUUUGAAAUUUCCUAAAAUCCAUAAUAUACUUGACAAAACUCAUUCAAAAUCGCAGGAAAAAAAAAAUUGAGGGGGUCGUUUCAAAGAGACUUAUAGUUGAGCGGAUCUCCACUCAUUUCAACGUAAAAAACCCUAGAAAGGAACAGAUAAUAGUUACACACAAAGAUCACCCAUACCCAUCCAAAACCCAGCAUUUCAUUCACCAAACUCAGAUCCGAGUAAGGAGGUAGAUACGAUGCAAAGAUAGAUCGAGAGAGAGAGAGAGAGAGAGAGAGAGAGAGAGAGAGAGAGAGAGAGAGAGUGUGUGUGUGUGAGUGAGUGAGAUGGGAUCGGGGAAAAAAAAGUAGUAAACCCUAACUGAUGAUGACGUCCCCGUCGGGGCUCUGGAGCAUCUUGUCCAUGCCCUUAGGGCCGAGCGAGGUGCGGAGGAUGCGAGCCACAGCGCGCCCCGCGGAGAUGUUGGCCCUCUGCGCGUCCAACCCCCGCACCCGCGUCUUCUGCUCCUGCUCCUUGAGGAUGAUGAAGGGCCUCCCGAACUCGUCGAACGCCAACGCCAUUGCUGAGCUCUCUCUCUCUCUCUCUCUUACGAAUCUCAGAGGAAGGAGAAAUUGGACGAGGGGUUUAGGAGGAGGCGAAAGCGUACUGGUACUGGUAGGUUCGAGAACAAAAGAGGAGGCUCCGCAGCUUUUUUAUGCGCCUCACCUCGUUAGAGCGGAUAUUCUCCAGAGUGAUCUGAGCCGUCCAAUAAUUGGGCCGCUCAAAACAAUCCAAGCACAAUUUGGGCCGGGCUUUUACCGGGCUGGAUUUAUCUAUUGGGCCCAGCAUUCUUAUCUUUUUUUUAAAUUUUUAAACUUUCUUAGUACGUUUGGUUCGAAAUCGAAAUCAGUAUCAGAGUUGGAAUGAGAAUAAGCUGAAAACAAAAUCGGAAUGAUUUAGCCUUUGGAUCAAUUCCUUUAAUCAUUUCUAACUAUUGAAUUAAAUAAUAUAACACAGUGAAAAUCACUCAACCCUACAAUUGCUCAUCUUAUGAUUAAAAACUUGAUAGCAAAAAAGAGCAAAUACUAUAAACAGUAUUCCAGCCCAACUAUAUAUAUAUAUGUAUAUACUACUUAUAAAAGAGAGAGUUUUAAAAUUUUUUUAUUUUUCAAAAUGUCGGUCCCUAUUAAUACAAUUACAAUCACAUACUAGCAAUAUCAUUCAUUCAACUUUAAUGGAACAUUUUUCAUUUUACAAUGAGGCAAAAUAUAGAUUUUUAAAUGACAAGAGAAAAGUAAAAAUCGGGUUUUGACAGAGAAGUUUUAUGUAAUUUAGCCAAUAAACAAUAAUAAAAAAAUAAUUUUUUAUUUAAAUUCUAGUUUAUUGAAAUUUUCUUUUAAUUUGAACAUUGCGCGCUAAAGUGGUUUUCAAUGUGAAAGUUUGUUAAAAGCGGAAAAUGAAAAAUCAUUGCGGCUCACGAGUCCACCAUGGGCGUUCUCACGUGGUCCACGAGGAAAGUGACAAACCUCAUAGACCACACGAUUAUUGACACAUGAAAUAAUUAUUAAAAAAUAAAACUCCGCUAAUUAAAACAAGUGCGAAACGAAGACGAUUUUUAAUGUAGAAAUUUAAAAAUUAAAGGCUAAAUCAGAGAAAACCGCCUUAUAAAUAUUUAUUUUUUAUUUUUUAUUUUAAUUUUAAAAAAUUUAUAUUUUACACACUUAAUAUUUUAAGUUAUUACAUUUAGUCCCCCUCCGUUAGAGUUUCAUUAUUAUUCCGUCAAUUUUUUAUAAUUUAUAUAAAAAUUAACUUAAAAAAUGACAGAAAUAUAUUAAAAAAUUAUAUUUUUAUUAUAGAAAAAAUUAUGGUAAUUUGGUUGUUUUGCCCUCUCCUUUAAUGCCGUACCUCACUAAAAAUAUUUCUGAAAUUUUAAAAAGGCAAAAUAUAGAUUUUUAAAAGUCGGAGAGUAAAAGUGAAAAUAUAGAUAUUUACAAAAAAAAUUUCUAUAAUUUAACGACAACCGAAUGGAUCAAGUGAGUACAUAAACUCCUCUAAUAACUAUUUUGGUGCUUUUAUAAAUAUUUUUAUAUUUUUAUAUUUAACACUUUCUCUUCUAUCUAACCUUGUUUUAUAUUUUUAUAUUUACCACUCUUCCCCACGUCCACGUCUGGACUCGAAAUUUUUUUUAUAUUUAUAUUUUUUUAUAUUUAACACUUUCCCUAAUAUUUGAGCUCGAGGCUUUCUGGUAGACCACUGUCUGGACUUGUUUAUGAAAGAAAAUUAAUUAUAUUAGAAAUCUAGUAUGACUCGAACUCAGGAUCUGUUGUUUCGAUACCAUGUUAAGUUAAAUAAAAUAACCGUUAUUAAUUCUCCAAAAUCUUAGACUUGUGGAGAAUGAUAUUUUAUAUUUCUUUUUAUUUAACAAAUAAUCUUCGAGAGCUUAAAUAUAUAGCUCCCAAGGAAAAAGUUCAUAAUCUUUUAAAAUAAGCUAUUUAAUAAUACUUUGAAAUUUCUCUUGUUUAUUUGUAAUCUAAUUCCAUUCAAAGAUAUAUAGAUUGUUUUGGAUGAAUUUGCAAAGACUGCUUAAAUUUUGGUACUUUUAUAAAUAAUUUUCUAAACUGUUAAUUUUUUUCCAACUAAAUUUUUUAAACUUUAUCAAAUUAUUCGCAUGUCGUGCUUCAUGAGUGAAGUUACUAAUUCAACAGUGGCUCUCGUCGUAACUCGCGCAUGGGAUUUUAUACAGCUUUUUAAAAAAUAUAUCAUCUUUAUUCUAAUGCAUAAAAAACAAUUAAAUGUAAUGGGAAAACUUCAAAUAUCAUUACUGUGCUUUCUCACUUUAUUCACAUAUUAUUAUUAAAAAAUAUUUUAUCUAGUUAAUUAUAUUUUCUAACGGAUCCUACCAAUAGGGUAUAUUUGAAAUAAAUGUGAAAAAUUGAACUUUAUAGAGAUAUAUUUACUAGCUAUUCGAUACAUUUAUAAGGAGAUGUUACAUGUAAUUAAUCAUUUAAAUAAACUUUUUGCUUCUAAACUUUUAUAAAUAUAUCAAAUUGGCCCAGUUUCUCAGGAAAAAUAAUCUGAAUAAUGGGUAAGUUAUUUUUUUAACUCAUCUNUAUAGAUAUAGAUAUAUAUAGAGGUAUAGAUGAGUUAAAAAAAUAACUUACCCAUUAUUCAGAUUAUUUUUGCUUCUAAACUUUUAUAAAUAUAUCAAAUUGGCCCAGUUUCUCAGGAAAAAUAAUCUGAAUAAUGGGUAAGUUAUUUUUUUAACUCAUCUAUACCUCUAUAUAUAUCUAUAUCUAUAUCUAUAAUCUGUAAUCUAUAAUCUAUCUAUAACUAUACAUUAUUUUUCAUGAAGUUUGCCACGUGGCAGUCCCUCCUUCAUCCUUACAUUCUCCUCUUUUCUCACUUUUCGAUACUUUGUUUUCUCACCCCAUUUCUACAUGAUGCUUCGUCUUCCUACCUGCUUACCUCUCAAUUAAUGCAGUCACAUGGUUGAAUUUCAUAUAAACAAAUUGCUUUCAUGAGAAAAAAUAAGUAAAAUAAUAUUUUUGUGUACUCUUUUUUUCUCAUUUUUUUUUGACGCAUAAGAAAAGUUCAUAUUUUGUAAGUUUUUUAAUUCUUUUUUCUUCCUAUUUUUAAAUUGUAUGUGGACUGAAAUUAGGAUUCCGCGGAUUACGGCCCGGCAUCACAGGGAAAGCGGAGCUAGAUUUGGAGUCAAUGAGGGGAAAGAACGUGGCUGUGAUGAAAAAGGAUCUUGACGUCGACAAUGGCGGCGAAGUAGAGAUGGAGAUUCGUCUUCCCGAUGUCGGCAAUACGAUUAAGAUGCGUAUGGAGUAAUAAUUUUAUUGCUACUUCUUUCAUUAUUUUUUUUUAUAAUUUAUUAUUUACUGAAAUUGUAAAUUUUGUUACAUUAUUGCUGCUUGUAUUUAUCUAUAUGUUAAUAUGAGUAGGUCUUGUGUGCUAUUAGGAGCACGGAGUCUUCCGUGCUUCUAAGCCGUUUUCGAUAAUGGAGCUUCCGAAUCGACGAUCAGCUCUGUUAGACUUGAUCUAGCAUAUUUGAAAUAUCUAGAAAAUAAAUUUUGUGACUUUUCGAUAUCAUUUACCUAACGAUCGAAAGUGUUCAAAAUCAACGGCUGAAAAUAAAAAUAUUACAAAAGGUGGUGAUAUAACAUGAAAAUUUUCGAUCAAACAUAUUGAUCUUGCUGUAAAUAUUAUAAAAAAUUUUCUAUCAAAAUUUUAUCUAAUUUGAACACUUCUACACCAUUAAACUUGCAAACGAUAUAUCAACCAUUAAAAAUUGUUGAUUUUGAACCUUUUCGAUUGCUAGGAAAAUGAUACCGAAAAAUCACAAAAAUUAUUUUCUAAAUAGUUCAAAUAUGCUAGAUUAAGUCUAACGGAGCCGAUUGUCAAUUCGGAAGCUCCAUCAUCGAAAACGGCUUAGGAGUACGGAGGCCUCCGUGCUCCUAAUAGCACACAAGACCUACUCAUGCUAAUAUAUAUUAUAUUUAUUAUUAAUAUCUUAUGGCAAUUUUAAAAAAUUUAAAAAUUUUUACUUUGUGAAAGCAUCAGCCCGCCGCAAUGCGUGGGUAACUUCACUAGCAUACAUAUAUAUAGAGAGAGAGAGAGCUAGGCUGGUAUACUAUUAAUACAACGGAGGCCUUUGUGCUACUAAGUUGUUUUCAAUGAUGCGGCUUCUAAAUCGACGAUCGGCUCCAUUAGACGUGAUCUAAACUAUUGAAAAUAUUUGAAAACUAAAUUUUAUAAUUUUUCGGCAUCAUUUACCUAUCCAACGAGUAGUCUAAAAAUAAAUGACUGAAAAUAAAAAUUUCAUAAAAAAUGAUGAUACUAGUCAACCAAUAAGAUAUUGACACGGUAUAGACUUCAUACCGAUGAUACAGUUUAAACUAUUACUAACAUCCACAGUGCCGUAUUAUGCCAAUAAGAUAUUGACACGAUACAGACUUCAUACCGAUGAUACAGUUUAAAACUCUAUAUUCUUUAAACUCACAAGUAAUUUUCUCAAUGAACUUUCAAAAAUUUGAUAAAAAUACAUAAUAAGCAAUUGAGUAUUUUGUUGCUAAAAAAAUAAAUAUUUCAUACUAUUAUAUAUUGGUACAUAUAUAUUUUUUAUAACAGGCAUGUUCCCGCAUCAUGACACUUAAAUUUUUGCUCUAGAGUUUGAUUCUUACAUUUGGUGCUUUACUUUUUUGGAUCAUUUUUUGUUAGAUCGAUUUUGUGGUAACAAAAGAAAUCAAAGUAUAUAUCCUCGAGAAUAUAUGCAGAGAAGGUAAGAGUGGGAUAAGAAUCAGCAGCAAAAUUACUCCACACAGAUACAACGUGACAACAAUCAAAGCUAUACAUACAAGAUAAGGAAACUGGAACUUUAACAAGAAAUAAACAAAUUUACAGCAUAGUCUAAGAUGCUAGGAACAAACAACCAAAAAUAAUGUGGAACAACAUCAAAACUACAAAUAUAUACAUGACACACAAGCCAGUACACGAGCGACAAUAAAUAUAUACCAAGUAAGAAUAUAAGAUCACAAUGUGAAUAGCUGUAACAAGAAAUUACACAGAUUCUGAAAGGGAAGAAAAUAUUUAGAAAACAGCACAAGACAGGAAAAAUGCAAGAGGGAGCCAGGCAACUGAAUACAACCUACAACAUGUUGGUGAAAAAAUUAAACAGAUUAUGGAAGAGACUUUUGUGAAUGUAAUUGAGCUGCAUGAGUUCCAGCGACAGGAAGACUCCUCGAAGUUGAAUAUCCAGAAUCCCAGAUGAACAAAUGUAACUUGAAUCUCCAGUUCAUCAACUAGUAAUACAGAGAUAUCCUAAUUGUUGUUUGAACCAAAAAAAAAAUGGAAAAAAACCAACUACACAUACAAAAGACAAACAAAAAAGAAACAUUGAUAACAAACUUCAACAAGCAAGGGCCCAAUUAUCACAUCUAUGAGGUCUACAAUCUCCGUAGCAUCUAAAGACAACAUGCAAUCCAGUGAGCAAAAAAGCCCAUUUUCGGAGAACCAUUUCAAAUACAAAAGAUACAUUAUGCCACCUAACACCAAACCAAAAGCAGACAAUUCAAUUAAUCACUUGUGGCAUGGCUUUAUAGGCGAAGUGGCUGAAACAAUUUUAACAAGAUGCUUCCAAAUUUGUAGCAAUCAAACAACAGGAUGGACAGGGGAUAUCCUUGUUAGAGCACCAAUCUCAUGGAAAGAAACAACAUUCCAAGUAUCACACUAAGUGAUGAUUCCUUACAGCGAGCUGCAAUACAUGCUCAAUGGAAGAUUGUUUCAUGAAGUGAUUGAUUUCACUGUUCUCCUUCAGUUACGAACCCCUGGUUAUUCACUAGGUUACAUUGUGUAUAAUGCUCAAUUGAGAGGAGGUAACACAAACUAGUUCAAGUACAAACCAGACGACUCGACAAUCUAGUUUGACUCAUACCCUUUUUCAGCUGCAAAGAUAAGCAUGAUGUGUACAGUGGGAAUUCAGAUAUACAACAGAUGUAAGAACAAACUUUGAGACUGUACAACUUGAAUACCCCUUCUUUCUUAACAUUUAUACAAAGCUUAUGGUUAGACUAUGUACAAACACAUUUCUUCCAGUUACAAUGUAAAAUCACGUAUCCUACUAACGGAGGACAUGUCUACAAAAGUGAAUGUUAUCUCCCCAUAUGAUGCUCCAAUUAGCAAUGUAUGUGAUUAAAUAUUCUCCAUAUCAUGUGCUUCAAAGUCACCAACACGCUAAUUUUUCACAUAUUGGUCUUGUGAACUGAUAAUAAAAAGGAAAAAACCAUAUUACAAUUUUAAACAAAAGGAGAAGAAGAAAAGAAAAAAAGUCUGAACAAAGUUUAUCUUCUGAUAAGUCAAGAAAGCUACAAUAUAUUUCAACUGCACAUAAAAAAGCAGUCAAGAAUUGAUGACAUAACGUCGUCGAAUUAGGGUUUCUAGUCCUAUUCAUGCACAAUUAUAUCAUAUUCUGAAUGAAUGACCUAGCGAGCCUUAGAGAUGCAGCAUCAAUCAGGAUAUUGACACUCAAAAAGAUCACAAGUUCCAAUAGUCAAAAAUGGAAGUUUGAUAGUAAGGAAAUAAUCUAGUCUUGCAUUUUGGAAAAGAUACUACCAAACAUACUGUCAAAGGGAAAAGGAUGGCUGCCAUUUUAUGAUAACUUAAGACCUAAGUUAAAAUAAGGAGCCCACCCGUGCACACUCUUGCGCACGUGCAUGUAUAGGUGCCAUCAUGUCGAAAGAUAUCCCUACUUUCCUAUCUUAUCACCACAUCUAGCUAAAUGACAGUCCAAUUCCUUGGCAAAUAGCAAACAUACUAGUCCUUGUCAGAAUAUUUACAUGUUCUCCUCUUAAUAUUGUACUAGCCAUGAGACAGAGCCAACAUGGCCAGCACAAGAAAUCGUAAUAGUGCAAAAAUCUGAACAAAUAAGACUAAUAACCAGCAGGCUUUAUUCCCCAAUUAAUUUAGAUAAGCUCCAUGAAUCUCCCUUUUCACAAUUGAGCUUGCAAUCCAUCUUAAUAUUAGCCUAAGCAUACUUUACAAAAGAGAUUUUUUGUCUAUUGACUCGUAAGAAUCCACGUGAAUGUCAAAACUGAAAAUUGCUGGCCAGGGAGGCUUUAUGAAGUUGGACAGGCCGGUUCUCAUUUGGCUAAGAAAAAGGAAAGAAUUAAAUCUUGAUUAAAAGAACUGAAAAGAUGAGCACCGAGAGUAUCACCUAAAAAGAAGCAACAGGAAUGGGAUAUAAUUGCCGUACAUACACCUAAAAAGCAUGACCUAAUAGAGUUCUAAAAAGGAAAAAAAUGAAAUCAAGUCACCAUAAUCUUGUGAGAGUGAUAAGAGGUUACUAGGGAAGACAGUUCACAAAUGUAAGAUUAAAGACUAAAUGCAUGAAUGACGGAUACUAGCAACAACUGUUCUAUUGUCUCACAGGUUUUGCCGCUUGCAUCCCACAUAUAGAAUAGCUAACUGUAACACUGUCAUAAAAAUCCUAUGCCAACUUUGCAGAGAGUUUAAAUCUCUUUCCUCAGAGUCUGUUAUAACCAUUAAUACAUGCGCUUAUAUAAUCUUUCUCACUCAAAUGAUGAAAUUCUUACUAAUUAUAACAAAAUGCGAAACAAUACAAUAUUUAGUUACAUGCUGGGAAAACUCAGACUUCCUCAAAAUUAGCUAUUAAUUUCGUUGAUGCAAAAAAAAAAAAUUAUGCUUAUGACUUAAUAUAGUAUUUGAAGAAGAAAUACUACAGAUUUGCGCUGAAUUAGUCUGUUGUUUUUCAAUGGCCCAACAGAGUUGAGAAUGAUUAAACCGGGGGAAGUGUAAUGGAUGGCACUUAAUAGUAAUUAAGUGGGCCUUUCACCACCUAUCCUGGUUCUGAGCAAGCAAACUGACUCUCCCAUCUCUACUUUCUAGGUUUUGGGGCAAUCAGUUCCCUGGCUUACUAAUGACCACUUCGAGAAGAACUUUACCAUAAAUAGAUUAGAAAAAAAGGUUGCCGUCCCUUGUCACAAAAAAAAAGCAAUUGUCAAAGGGCAUGCAUUAGGAUGAAUUACAGUAAGUAUAUAGUUGAGAAAAGAUGAAACACUAGCUAGCAGAAGGAAGGGAAUACAAAAAUAAAUAAUUAUUUCAGUAUGAGACAUUGAAGUGGCAGGUUUUGAUAGUAUUCUACUUAUGAAACAUAACAACAUGUACAUAACUGAUAGACUCCCACUCUAAAUUUUAUGACCAUAAAAUUUUCCAAAAACAAAAUACGGAGCAGCAUUAAUUUGGUUCAUAAAUCCCUUAUCAUUUGAAACCACAAAGAAUUUUAUGACAGUACUCAAAUCUUUCAUGCAUCAGUUCACAGAAGGGUAGACACCUAAUUUUGGGUCAGUUAAGGUUUUCCCAGAAGAAGGAUUGAAUUUCUGUGCAUUUUCCAAGCAUUUCCUAAGAACCACAUACAACUUUCCUCAACAAUUAUUUCAUGACUUAAUGGCUUCCGAUCAAACCCAAUAUGAAGAAUCAAUGACAUAGGGUCCCAUAACUAUUUCCUACAGUACUACGUGUUGAACCAUUUAAACUUACAAAGUGAAAUUAUCGCUUCUCGCUGAAGCAAACAGAAAUAAUACCAAGAAAAAAAUAACUGUUCAGAUAAGGACUAGAAAAAUACUAAUGCAAUGCAAUCCAACAAUUAAUGCAGAGAAACAUCUUAUCUCUCAACAAAACAAAGAAUGAUAAAAUAUACUCACACAAUGGAGGAGGUAUUAAAUAGACACCUCCAUGUAUACUAUUGAAUAUUUCAGCAUUUAAACUGUGUACAGGCAGAAUUUCUCACCAGUAAGAAACUACAAGGAAUACCAACUUUAGACUGUCAUAAGCUACUUAUCAAACAAAACAACAAAAAGAACACAGAGAAGAAAAGAAAACAAAUGGUAUGUACAAUAGCAGCAUAACCAAUAUCAUCAACUAAAGAGCUCAUAAAUGUCUUUUAGUCGUGUGUUUAUAGUAAUUGUUCACGAUAUAGGGAUGUGAUCAGCCUCAGUGAUAGCUGAUUCACUGCCAGUUUCUAAAAGUUUAAAAUGCAAACAAGUAUUACUAGCUGUUUCAAGCACAUAAAUAUUAAAAGCGCCACAAAUAGUUUGUCUUAUGUUAUGCAGGAGUAGCAGUCUUUCCUUCAAUACUGGCAUUAACUUACUUUGUCAAUCUGAGGCCAACGAAGAGGCAUCAGCUGCGAUCGACUUCUAUGCAAGAUAUAUAUUUUCACUCGCGACGUCUCUUUCCAUACUCUACAUCCCUAGAGCGCGAUCUAUAAUCUUCUCCAUGCGACACCCUUGACUUGCUUCGAGACCUUGAAGAGGACUGCCCCCUCCCCAGGUCAUCUCCGUUAUCCAAGUCCCACUCUCUCUGCCUGUAGUCCCUGUGCCCAUCUCUCUCCUCUUUGUACCGCUCUCUAUCAUACCUAUCUGAAUCUUGCUCCCUCUCGUCACGAUGCCUCCUCUCAGGAUUCCCCGACCAGUCACGGUCUGGAACUUUCUCCUUCUCCCUAGAGGCAUUCGAUCUCCCACCUCUCUCAUUGUUCAUUUCCCCAUAGCCAUAUUCAGAAGCAACAUCAUCGCCAUCAUCACCACCCAUGCUUGAGUCAUUCCACAUCCCCAUCGGCGGUCCUUCCAUUCCGCCGCUGCUCAUCAUUCCCAUUCCAUUUCCAGCCAUUCCACGGUUGAAAAAUGCCGGGUUCACAUGAGGUGCGACUCCAGGAAGCCCGACAGGAUUGACAGCUUGAAAUGGAGGAAUCAUCCCAGGAAAAGCCGGAGCGGGAAAUGCACCGAAAGGACCUCCUCGACCCAUGAAGGUUGGGUCAAAUGCCGCACCCAUUAGACUCUGCGGGUGCAUAAACCCACCGGCAGGACCCCCCAUCGCGGGCCCAGCUAGGCCGUGCCCAUACGGCCCUGCCGAGAUACCGACCCCAGCUCCUCCACCUGCACCCCCUAUUAUUCCCUUCGCACCCAUGAACCCCCUUCCCCUCAUCUGCCCACCAGCACCGCCAUUCGGGCCUCUGUUCAUAAAGCCCUGCCCACCUCGGCCCCAUCCGGCCUUACCGAAGUUUCGUCCACCACCAUCAUUGCCCUGAUUACUCAUUCCGCCACCUCUACCCAUACCAUCACUCAUUUGCCUCCUCCCCUGUGCUUGGCCUUGGUUUUUAUUCAUAUAAGUCGUGUUCAUCUGCUUCAAGGACUGCGGCGACGCAAACGCCACCACGCACGGCCGCCCGUUGAACGCGUGGCCGUUCAUUCCUUCCUUGCAAGCGGCCGCGGCCGCCGCCUCAUAGAACUCAACCUGGCAGUAGCCCUUCGACUUCCCGCUCGCCCUCUCGUCAAAGAACUUGAUCUCUUUCACCCUCCCGAACUGCAUCAGAAUACUCUCAAGGUCGGAAUCGGUGGUCCACCAGUGGAGCUCCCCAACAAAGAGUGUCGUCGGGCCGUUGUUAUCCAUAGAGCUCAUCUCCUGUCUCACGCCGUCAUUCAUCGCAAGAUGGUUAUCACUCGGAGGAGGCAGCGGAGGCUGCGCAGGCGGCAUAAGCGGCGGAUUUCUGGAUUCUGGAGGGAGCACCGAAGGCCCAGCAGCAAACUUGGCUUCCAUUCCGAUUCCGGAAUGAGUUCCGGCAUUUACCAGACUGUUCUUUGGUGCAAUCUCCGGCACCAUGUUACUUUUUGGGGGAAUUUCCUCCGGGUAAUCCCCGCCGCGCUCUGCCGAACCCUUCAGAUUGAGAAACACACUAGGUCUCUGAUCAGUUUCUUGCUGCCCAUAGCUAGAAUUCACCUCCUUAUCUUCCACUCCAUUACCAUACGGCUUCGGCGGUUCGGACUUUUGCUUCAUGGUCUGCAUAAAACCCUCGCCGACGUUCACAUCGCUGUAGAGAUCGUCGAAUUCAUCAUCAUCCCCCAUCAUAUCCUCUUCCGCGAUGGCGGGGAUGGCGCCGCCGCCGCCGCCGCCGCCAUAGUGGCGAAGCCUCUGAUUACCCCCAAAAUCAUCCUCCUCAUAAUCCAACUGCUCUUCCGUCAUGGGAUCCAUCCAAUGCUCAACUCUAAAUCAGAUCAAAAAUGGAAACAUAAAAUCUAAUAAAGAAAAAAAAAAACAAUUACUGCUCAAUUAAUUAAACAAAUUUGGUAAGCAAUCAAAAAGCUUGUUCAUUUACUGAGCUUGAACAUAGGCAGAACCCAACAAACUUGCCCAAAGGUCAAAAAUCAAAUUUUGGAUAGUAAGGAUGCAUUUAAAUUCCAAAUUCAACACCGAAAAACCACAAAAAAAAAAAAAAAACCAUAAUCCCAAAAGCUAAAUAGAUAAAGGGGGCAUUAAUGGUCCCUUAGCCACUUUAAAAAGUUGGAUUUAAUCACCUCUCCCUCUAGAGUUUUCUUUGUGGGCGGCUCCUGUUUCGUAGUGUAUCCACCCUUCUACGCUCUGAGCCAAAAAGCACUUCCCCUCGUUGGGGCUUCUUUAGGGGGAAAAAGAAGGGGAUCUACUCCUAAACUGUUUCUGCAAGAACCAGUUCAACUCUGAAUGUAGGAGAGAAAUGGAGGAAAAGAGACGAUGGUAUGAAGAAGAAGAAGAAGAAGAAGAAGAAGAGGGACAUUUUUUUUUUUUUUUAAGGGGGGUAGGGGGAGUCAACACGGAGGAGCGUAGACCGGGUGCACGGGAAACAAAGAAAAGGUUUUUGAUUGGACCGGACCGGGUGGACCGGGUGGCUUCGGCCAAUGGCGUGUUGGGUUUUGAGCUUGGGUUUGGGCUCUUGUUGGGUGAUUGGUUGUUUUGGUUGGUUCAAAUGUGUUGCGAAUCGAUUGGUUUAAACCAGCUUCGUGAAAAUGACGUGUUUUAUUGUUGUCGAUAAACGUGAGGAUAAAAAAUGGUAAAAAUGCUACCAGAGCCCUCACCUAUGGGUUGUCUUGAAAUAGGCCCCUUAGCUUUUUUUUUUUUCUUCUUGAUGCUUCUCCGUCCUUAAUUAUUUUUUACUAAAGGUAUUUUAAAGUUAAAUUUGAAAUUCAUUAAAAUUAAUGAACCAGUAAACACACACACACACACACACACGAAAAAAAAAAAGAAAAAAAGUUCAUAUAUCCCAAUAAUUUUCACAAAACACAAAAAAUCACCCAUGCUUUAUUAUUUCUUUUUGGGUGAAAAAAUUCUAACGUGUUAGGUACCGUUUGGUCCGGAUAUAAGCAAAAUUAGCUAUUACAGGGAUAGAGACAAGGAUGGGGAUAAAAAAAAAUAGUAUUUGGAUGAAAAUUGGGUUGUUCCCGAGAAUAAGAAAAAUAGCGUUUUGAUAGAUAAUAUGAAAUAAGAAAAAUAUUAAGUAGUUUUAUAUAGAAAAUAGAGGUGUUGGUGGGGAUAAUUAUAAUCGGUUAUUAUAGGUAACCGAGAACUACUGUUCUCGAAUAAAAAUUUAGCGUUUGAAUAUAAAGGAGGGAAAAGGACCUAUUCCUAUUCCUAUCCCCUAACCAAACAUUAUUCCCUAACCAAAAACUCACUGCCUAAGGUAUAUGAAGUGUUUGGUACAAUCUUCUCCCCGCCACCGUUAGGCACCCAACGCUUUCGCUAACGAAAUUGCACCAAAAGCACUUGAAAAAAAGAAAUUCAUCGUCUCAGCUAGCUAUUGCAAACACCCGAAAUAUAGGAACUAUGAAAUUAUACCAAAGCACUUUACUAAUGGCCCUUCCGGUAUUGAGCUCUAACACUAGUGGACAAAACAAAAUUAGGACAAAAAUAUAUAAAAAUAUAUUUUUCUAUCUUUAAUAAGACAGUAAAUUAAGAACCAUAACCAUAAUUUUUACCAUCCGUAACGCAAUAUCUAGUAAUUCCCAACGAUGCUUUAGAAGCACAAAAUAACAAAAGAGAGAUGAGCUAACAAUAAUGUCUCUUGCAAAUAUUUGCCUUAACUGGAGCAAACAACAGAGCAAGUAAUAGAGUGCGCUCGCGAAGCGAUUGCAACUAAUUAUAUCAGAUUAAAGUUAUCAUUGAAUGAGACAUUAUUUGCUAGUCAAAAAAGUAAUUAAAGUCACCAACUGGUGUGUACCAAUUUUUCUUUCCUUGCCCCCCUCCCCCACUUCAUUUAAACUAAAAGAACUAUGAGAUCUAUGGAACAAAUUAACAGCAAGAAAACUGAGGCUUAAGAUACAACAUCUAAUGUACAAACUCAUACAAAUACCCCUCCUCCCGUUUAUCUUCUCUUCUGUACAACUACUCGACAACUAUCCAUGAAGAGUAAUGUUGUUCUUCGCUGUGGCUUUACGAGGCGAUUCAUAGGUUUUAUCAGAAACAAGAGCUUCGGCAGUUAAUACAUUCCCUUGAAGACCGGAUUUGUGCGGCAUAUGCUCGCGCCGUACUCUUCGUAUUCUGCUUUGGUGUGGCAAGCCUGCAUAGAAUACAAGUUGCUAAAUUAGCUUAUCAAAAUUACUAGAGCGAAAUACAUCCAGCAGUUUCUCACAGAUUUUCAGCUCUGUUUUCGCUUUUGAGUUCACAAGGUGGCUUAUGUGGCAUAUGCUCUAAGAAUUUUUUUCUUUUCUUUUUUCUGCGUGUUAGAACUGUCUAUUUUAGCCUACUAUUUGAAAUGGAUGCUUUAUUCUGAGAAGCAACAGCUGGAAGUUUGGCAAGGAAAAUGAUUUGAGUUUGUCCUAUGGCGACAAGCUGAAAUAAGCUUGUGAUUCCCGAAGGAGAAGCUCCAAGUUGAAGCUUCCACUUCUGCUGCCGCAGCAGUUAAUGGGAAUUUAAAUAAAAAAGUUAUUGGUGCUUUGAAGAACACUAGCUUUACUCGAAAGCACUGACGUGCACGCUCUAGCUGGGCCAAAUAGGCUCCAAGUAAUUUUUUUAAUCUACUUGCAUAGUGUGAAACAACCGUUAUACUCUAGUACCAAAGCUUAAGCUGUUAGAUAACGGUGUUUAAACAUUUUUAUAUUUAACACUCCCCCUCUUGGGCUCGAGAUUUUUUAAUCGGCCCAUGACGUGGGCUUGAAUUAAAUGGGAGGAAAUUAAUAUGUUAGGAGCCUGGCAUGACUCGAACUCAGGACCUCCUGCUCUGAUACCAUGUGAAACAACCGUUGUACUCUAAAAGCUUAAGCUAUUAGAGAAUGGUGUUUAAACAUUUUUAUAUUUAACACAGAUAGAACUAACGUACAGCACUGGACUGCUUAUCACAGCAAUCUUUUCGCUUUGUCUGCCAGUUUUUUCAUCCGGCAAUAAGAUAGGGAUGCUAGCUAGAAGUUUGACAUGAUGCAAAAAGAUAAAGAGGGAACAUGCCUUGAAUAGGCUUUGUAAUUAAGUUUUGUGUGAAGCAAUAUCUUGAAAAAUAAGUGCUUGACCUGCUACCAGCUAUUCUCCAUCUUUGGAGGAAAAAAAGCAAUGACAAUUCUUACACUAAUGGCAAUUCAAAGGGACCUGAGGAUUAGCAUCGGAAGGAACACGCGAGUAAACAUACACAGACAAGUGUGCCAGCAUGUGUGCCGUGUGUCAAACUGGAAAUCUGUAUAAGGUUAUACUUUCAGAACUGGAGAUUCAUAUCAUGCGACCCACAUUACAGUUGAUGUAUGUGUGGUUUAAGAGUGUCAAGUUUGCAAGAGAGAGAAAUUUGACAAACAUUUGGCCAAAAAAUUAACAAACAUUUAUACUAGUUUUCCUGCAUGAUGCACAGUUACAGUAGAUGACUAGAUUUAUCAUCCAAUCACCUCUGAUUAGAAGGUCAAGCUCUUCAGCACUCAUAUUGGUAAUUUCUAGUGCCAAGAAAAUAGUUCUCAAAGGAUAAUUAAUGCUUGUUUUCAGGCUAAUUAAGAAUUGUUUAUAAUCAAAAGAGAUCUCAAAGUAUAGACAAGUACCCCAUAAAAUUCAGCAGUUGAAGCAAGUACAGAGCCUCCAAACCAAACUGCAUAUCUUUGGAUAGGAUGACUGACCACACUGACUUCGAUGGGUUGAGACUGAAAUUGAAGUAACAGGUUAGUUUUGAUUCUCUAGUACUGCAACAACAAACACCAGCCCCCCAACAAAAAAAAAACUCUCUUCUCUUCUCCCCCACAAAAAAAAGAAAAAAAAAAAGAAAACAAAACACCCUGCCAAACAACUAAAAGAAGCACAUAUGCACAAAACAAAAUAUUAGACGAAUAAGGAAUUCCUACUUUUAUCUCCCCGCCAACUCGGGAAGCUGAUGCGCUAACCCGAGUAUCUACAAUCUUUUUCAGAUCUCGCUGUAGCCUUCUGUGGAAGUCCUUGAACAUCGUUGAUCCCCCAGAUAAAACAAUAUUCUGAGACAGUGGUGAAACACUUGAAAAUCACAGGAAAAAAAUGAAUAAUCCACUAGAAGAUUGGACAUGAACAAGUAUUUUGACAGUGCAUACCUUAUAGAGAGCCCUCCUCGUGUCAAUUGGGGAUGAUUGAAUACAUUUGUCAAUAACGGCAGGUAAAGGGGUGGUAAAGUUACUAGUAUAAAUCUCAGGAUUAAAGAAAAUCUGCAUAAAGUGUGAAAAGAAAUGAGUGGAAUUAUUCAAACGAAGAAAUUAUUUUUCACUAAGCAUAAAGAAUGUAGGAGUUAUCAGUGUGCAUUCAGAAAACCCACAUUAACCCAACAAGAAGAAAAAGAGCAUGCAACAGAGUUUAAGAUUUCUACCCAUAUCCACAAGUAUUGAACUUGUGGAGUUGAAUGUGUAACUACUAAAUACAUCACUAUCACCUACAAAUAUAAGUUCAGUAGCACUUGUAUGACAGCUAUUUCAAGGUGUUAUAGCAAUAUUCCAAUUAGUAUAAAAGAACAAAAGAGCUUCUCUAGCACCUUUCAAGCAAUCUAGACAAGCAAAAAGACAUGUAUGGCAAAGUAAAUAGCAUGGCUACCUUUCAGGUACCAGUUGUCUAACCAUUGCAAAUGUUUUACGUUCUUAUAUACGGAGACCCCUACUAUUAUAGCUUGUUUUGAUUUAGGUCCCUUAAGAUUUUCUAAGUUUCAUUUCAAACAGUCCAAACUAAUAGUAACUUUGACAUGCGGCAAUACAUCGCUACUGUUUGCGUACUAAAACCAAUUGACAUCUAAGGGCAAAUCCAUUGAAAUAAACAGGAUGUCUAAUUGUCCAGGCGGUAAUGAUAGUAUCUUGCACCUGAACCGGUGGCUCACUUUUUCUAAAAAUCUUCAAAUCAUACAAAAGUGCCAGUUCAAAGGGAUAUCAAAAUAACUUCAACGGACCAACAUCAAACAAUGUACAAUUUGAUGAGUCUCUAGACUCUUCUACAACAGUUUCAAAUAUUUGUUUACUUCUCUAUCGACUCUGCCAUAAAACUUGCUGUUCCGACAAUAAAACGAAGUCAAACAUAUAAUAGCACAAGCUGCCAAGAAGGAAGGUCAAUGAACUACCUCAGGUCCAAGAAAGCGCUCAUAUCCUAUAUCACAAGAGUACGAUGCUCUGGUUUUCGGCUUUACGCCAGUCCAUUGCUUGAUGUACUUGGAAGGUUCUCUAUCAUGCUUAUUGAACUCCUGAAAUAAGAGUGAACAGAUAAAAAAGAUAAGAAAUCUCUCAAGAAAAGAUAAAAAAGAUAAGAAGAAAAAAAAGUGGCAUGAGGCAAGGCUCCUUUCCAUAUUAAUAGUGUAAAUCUCAGCCACGAAAAAAAUAAAAAUAAAAAUAAAAAUAAUCCUACAAACUGGCAUACAUAUCUCUGAUGAUUACCUUUGUCGUUGAAAAGGAAUUAACCACUAGGGACAAUAAAAAAAUUAUUUAAAAGAUCAACAAAGAACUAAAAACAAGAUACGGAACUACCUGAAAAAUUAUUUGAAAGAUCAACAAAGCGCUAAAAAUAAGAGCAACAAAAAAAGUGCUUUACUGUUGUGACUAACUAGAUUAAUAACAGAGCAAGGGUAGUUAUAGAAAUUGGUUCCCACAUAUAAUGGAGCUUGAUGAUGAAAUAGAAGUAUUCAAAUUGUUACUUCACGGAAAUAUAAAAAAUUAACAAGCUUUCACACAUAUGAACAAUCAAAAGGAACACAUUCUUCCGCAAAUCUGCAAUUGACAAACAGCAUGUCCUUUCCUGAACAUAGAGUGCCAAAGAGAUUUACGCGGAAAAAAGAGCCCAAACUAUGAAAGUAUGAAACAACACAAACACAUGAGUGCAAAAUAGAAUUCUUCGUCUUCAUCUUCAGCUGUCACAACAUGAAAAUAUUACUUUUACCUUGACAAUAUCUGCACAAGUAUAACCAUACAUCUCCUUCACCUUCCGUGCCACUUCUAACGAGUCUUCAGGUGGUAUGUGCUCUCCUCUUUCCUGUGUGAAAUGAUAUUACAGUAGAAGCAAUAAUUAUAAACAACCAGCAUCUCAAGUAUAAAACAGAAACUUGAGUGAGCUAGGAGAGGAGAAACUUCAAGUAUUCACCCUUAAAAGCUGCUGGAUAAACUGAGUAACAUCCUUGCCCGUUAUAGGAAUAGAUUUGAUGCUACUCCCGAUCACAUAACCAUCUGCGACUGGCACAACAUGUGUGGCCCCGUCUCCGACAUCAACAACAACACCGGUCAUUUCACACUGAAGAACAAGGAUGUAGUACAAAGGUAAGAGCUAACUGCUUAUUGCAAUGAGAAAAGAAUUAAAGGGAUACAAGAAAGAAUAACGGUAUAAACAUUGUUUGCUUGAGAUAGACAUAUGUGUAAUACAUAAUUUAGGUAAUAAUUGGAAAUCAUUUUACUUCAUAAGAAAAUAGGGUGCUCAACAAAAUCAUUAUGUAAGCAAUUGAAAGGAACACUUUAGCAGCAAAAUUAGGGUAUAAGCUCAUAGAAACAGAUGCUAGAGCCAACCUUUGAAGUAGUGUAUCCCGCAGCAAGUGCAAGGACAGGCUGGACUGCUAUGUACAACCCAGGAACAUUGAAUGUCUCGAACAUGAUUUCUCCUGUGUACUCACGAGUUUCAGGAGCAGUGAGAGGACUCUCAGUCAAAAGAAAAUAGUGAUCUUCAGGGUCACAGCGCAAAUAAUUAAAAAUACACUGUUGCCAAAAUCUCUCCAUUGCAUCCCAAUUCUCCACCUGCAAACAGUACUAAUUAAGAUACAUUUACCUACAAUGCACCCUUAAAAGCCCUAAACAUAAAUCCUAUAACUUGGCGGUGUUAUACCUGACCAUAAUGAAUAGGAUAGCUGAGAUUAUAUGUGCUGCUAGCACGGGAGCGUGAUAAAGCUUCCUCUCCAAUGAAAAAAUCAAGAUCGGCCAUAACACCUGCGCUAUGCUGUGCUAGCCAAUUCCCCUUACCAGAAGUUCUUGAUUGAUUUGAAAAAGACUCAUUUACAGCAACAACAGUAGGAAUAAUAAAGCAAGGUUCAACAUUGCCAGCAAAACCCAUUUUUGUGUACCUGAACAAGAAAACGCAAAGGUCAAAAAAAGCAUAGUAAUCUUUAACCCUGCAAUACAACUCCAUAUGGAUAGGAGCAAUAUGAGCGCACUCCGAAGUUUGAAAAAUUUUGCAUGGAAUUAAGCAGUGGCAUGUUCUUUAAAUCUGGGAAGCUAAACAUUUGAAAUGGAAAUAUUCCUACCAAUCAUCUGCAAACUAUUACCACAAGCAGCAGAUACAAAAUGGGCACAAUAAAGAGACACUCAUAGUACCUAGAAAAGUUUUUAUGGCACGGCAUCAGAGAUGGCCUCUCUAUGUAAUGAAUGGUGGGGUAUAUACCAUCCAACCUAUAAUUCUCUGGCAUAAAGAUCUAAAAUUUAAGAAUAUUACUACCUGAAUCAAAAACAGGUGUUCUUCUUCAACUAAAUCAAUUCAUUCUCAAUUACAAAUCGUCCCACUUCAAGCUCCUUUGCCCUAAUUCAACCUCAACAGCAACUUCCCUAAACCUACUACGUACCCAAAGAGACACUCGUUUAGAUCGCAAGUGCCUCGUCUAGGACCUAAAAAACCGAUAACUACAUCAUUAUCGACAGGGGGGGAAAAGGAGCAAACGAAGGGAGGAGAGAUCGAUCCGCACCCGGUCCCGUUGUCGAUGACGACGGCGGGGCGAGAGGCGGCGUCCAUGGGCGGAGGAGGAGGAGGAGGAGGAGGAGGAGCACGGAGCUAGGGUUCCGAGCGGAUCUGCAGCCGCGAGAUCCGAUACGGGGCGCCGCCUAGGGCAUCCGCUCAUGGUACGCGGUGGGGCGCCCGCGCUCGCCGCGCCGGGGGUGAUGCGGCGCGCGCGCGUCGCGGGCGCCGCGGAUCGCUAGAUCUCGCUCUAUCCACGGAGACGCGGUGGGCGGAGAGGAAGCCGCAGCGCCGUCGGCGUUCCCGCGAACGCGGCGGCGGCGGUGGCGGCGGCGGCGGCGGCCGAAGCGCGUUCCCUCCGCCGCGAGAAUCGGAUGGGAUGCGUUACGUGCAGGCGCCGGAAACUUCGGGGAGAGGGUUGGGGGAGGGACAGAAUAAAUAAAUAAAUAAAUAAAAUUGAAAUUAUAGUGCGGCGAAAACGGCGUGAUACCGGAGAUUUUUGUGUACGUGUCUUUGCGUAUGUAUAUAUAUGAAUAAUAAUGAAUAAUAAUAUAUAUAUAUAAUAAUAAUAUAAUAUUUAUAUGAUAUAAUUAUAUGAUAUAUGAUAUGAUGAUGAUGGAUGUAGUUGCCUUUAUUUUUAAAAUGUUUUUUGUUUGUGUUGUGAAUGCUGCGUUUCGCGUUUUUUGUUUUUUUUUUUACGGAGGUGGGCGGAGCGGGGCGGUGCAGGUGAAGACACGAAAGCGACACGUCGUUUUCUAUUUUCUCCUGCGUCAUCUGGUCUCCUAAAUAAUUAUUUUUUAAAAAAAAAAUAAUCUUUUGUGAAUUAUUAACGCUUUACCAGAUCUAUAUUUGAUUUUGAGCGUUCGUGUAUGAAACACUCGAAACCCCUCGAGUUAGUGAGUUACCAGUAAUAUUGCAUUCACCGACAAGGCGAGACCAGUUGACUCGGUGGCUUACUAAAUGUUUCUCAUAACACAUUAAUACGAACAUGUAGAAAUCAUUAAUAUGACACAAAGGCAGGAAUCAUAUUUAGCUCUUGGUAUUAUGAUUUUGUACAAAAGAUCGUUUUAAUAGGAAAUUUUAAAAACAUAUACUUAGGCUUAGUUUGAUUUUGAGAUUUAUAAACGCUAUUAGAUAAAAUAGAGUUGAGGAAAAAGCUCUUUUCUGCGUUCUCUGGUUGGACCGCAGAAAAUAUAUCGUAACCAACUCAUCGCGAUAUGCAGAACGCAAUAUUACGUACGGAAACAAAUAGGAUAUUUUUUCACCGUACUUUCUCACCGUAUGUAACGCAAUCUCCCGCAAUUCCAAACGAAGCCUUAAUAUAUACACCUAGGGUGUGUUUGGUUCGAAGUCGGAGUCGGAAUCAGAAUCGGAAUCAAAAUCAAAAUAAGCUGGAAUCGGAAUCGGAAUAAUUCAUUACCUAAUUCUGUUUGGUUCAUCACCUGAAUCGGAAUCGGAAUAAAUCAUUCCCAUUGUCGGUAUUUGGUUCAGGUGGAUAUAAAAAACGUAAUAAUUAAUAUACUAACAUUAUUUUUAUAAUAUAUUAAUUUAAAUUCAAAUUAAAAAUUAAAUAUAAAAAAUUUACAUCAAAAUUUUGAAAUAAUGUUAAAAUUUUAAAUCUAUUUUUUUAAAAAAAAAAUAAACUUUGAAGUUGAGUGGAUAAUUCAAAAUAUGAAACUAUAUUUUAAUUUAUUCAAAUUCAAACUUAAAAUUACAAUUUAAAUUUUAAUUUGAAUCCAUAAAUUUAAUUUAAGUUCGAAAUAAAAUUUGAAUAAAACUUUAUAUAAAUUAAAAUUUAAUUUAAAUUCAAAUUCAUAAGUUAGAUUCGAAAUACUUGAUUAAAUUUUAUUUUUUUAAUUUAAGUUUAAAUUAAAAUUUAAAAUUAUAUAUUUAAUUUUUAUAUUUUAACUCAUAUUUUAAUUAAAAAAGUUGAAAAAUAAAUUUAAUCCGAAUAAAUAUCUAUUCCGUAAUGAUUCAACUUUCAAUCCGGUCUCCUAGGCUGGAUAAAAAAAAGAGGUGAUUGGGGGACUCCCAUUCCACUCGGGAAUCGGAAUCGAAAUGGAACUCUCGCGUACCAAAUACCGACAAACGUAUUUAUCCAUUCCGAUUUCGAUUCCAGGGUGAAAAAGAAGCGAACCAAACACGCCCUAUCUCUUCGGUAUAGAAAAAAAAAAAAAAAGUAUUGCAAUUUUUCCCUCUAUCUUUUUUAAGCAACCAACAUUGCAUGAACUCAUUAGAAAUGUUACUACAAUUUCAUAACAUGCCUACGGAGUUGAGCUAGAAUACUUGUAAAAGUAUUAUGUGAGUAGUGCUUUUGAAUUUUUAGCCAUUGGAUGGAGAGAUGUGAGGUUGAGAUGAUUGUGGUAGGUGGUGGUAGGUGAAAUAGUAUUUGAUCCAAGGAUUAUUAGUAAUCAAGGAGUAGAUCCAAUGGCUAAAAAUCUAAAUCAUGGGGGUAAUACUUGUAAAAGUAUUCUAGCUCAAUUCCAUGCCUACGUACGUGCUUCAAAAAUGAAGCUGGGACUUAGAUUCUUCUUAUGCUAGCAGUUCUAUUUAGCUGAAGCAUGCAUUGAGGAUAAUAUAUAUAUAUAUAUAUUUUUUGAGAGAUAGGUAGCAUGCUACCCGGUUCGUUUAUUUUAUUUAGAAAUAAACUUAGCUGAAAAUGUGAAUCAACUAGGAUUCGAACUUGGGUUUCGGAUAUCAACCACCAAGCCCUUUGCCACUUGCUAUAGAAACGGUCGGUCAUUGAGGAUAAUUAAUAUUGUUAUAAAAACUCUGCUGAAAGGAUACUUUCUUUUUUCUUUUCUUUUUUUUGAGAGAGAUAGUUAGCACGUUAUCUGUUUCGUUUAUUUUAUUUAAAAAUAAACUUAGCUGAAAAUAUGAAUCAACUAGGAUUCAAAUUUGAAAUCUCGGAUACCAACAAUCAAGUCCUUUGUCACUUAUUCUAGAGACGGUCGGUGCUGAAAGGAUACUUUCAGUCAUUAGAUUUUAUAUUUUACAGAGUUAGAAAAAGUCGAAAGUAUGUUUGAAAGUUUCAAUCCUUCGAUGCUACAAAAUUAUACCAGAAACUGGCAACGGGUGGGAAUUAUAUUUUGAGCUCCAUUCCUCUUUUCGUUCUUUUUCUAUUUAUUUAGAAGGUGAGAGGAAAAUGAAAAUGAGUGUUCCACAGAGACAAGGAUUGAAGGGUUAUUAUUAUUUUUUUUUUCUUUCUGAAAGAUAAUAAAUAAUAGCAAUAUUAAUUCAAAAAAAAUAUAGAAAAGCAUUUUUAGUAUUAAGCUUUUAUUAACGAAUAUAUAUAUAUAUAUAUAUAUAUAUAUAUAUAUAUAUAUAUAUAUAUAUAUAUAUAUAUAUAUAGUUAAGUUCCCCAACUUGAAUGAGUGGUGGGGGACCAGUUACCGAAAUAUGUCUCUCUUACUUCAUGAAAAGCUAAUGCUUUUUUCCAACGCAUGAAUGCACCGAGUAAUUGCUUUACUUAGAAAACACAGUUGUUUUUUGAGAGAUAGAUAGCACGCUACCUGUUUCGUUUAUUUCAUUUAGAAAUAAACUUAGCUGAAAAUGUGAAUCAACUAGGAUUCGAACUUGGGUCUCGGGUAUCAACCACCAAGCCCUUUGCCACCUGCUCUAGGGACGGUUGGUAACUGUGUUUAUUUCAUUUAGAAAACACAGUUGUUUACGUCCAAACCAACCUACUGUGAUGUAUCUUUUGAAGAUCAUAUGAUUCAUAUCAAUAUAUCAUAAUCGAUUGGUAUAUUAAUGGUAUAUGUAUUGCUUAUUUGAGCAGGGGAUUUUGGCUUAAUGGAAAAGCUUAGAGAAAAAAAGGGGCAUAUGCAGGACAAAGGAAAAGCUGGGGCUUGUUUACUGAAACUGGACGCAGAUACCAAAAGAACGGAAAAAGAGGGGGAAUGAGAAUUGUAUUGCCGGAAACUGUCCAGUGUUCACCCACCCUUGGUUGUUGACACUUACAGGUGGGCCCCACAUCUUUGUCGAUCUGCGAGUGCCGGCGUUUUGAGUAGACCGCGGAGUCGGAAAUCGGAUGUGGAGGACAGCUAGCGAGAAUCGGCUUCGACUUCGUGUAUGGUGCGAGGUCGCGGCAUCCUGAUGCUAACCGUGAAUCUGCUGUUAUCUACAUUCAUUCGUCUCGGAUCGAUACUUUUCGUCUUUGUACGUAAUCUAUAUAUCGGAACCAAUUGCAGUAACAUAAGAAUAUUUUUCAUGUUGGUAUACAAAUAUAAACGGCUUUAUUAUCAAUCAUAUAUAUGUAAAUCUCGUGUGUAAAAUCAGUAAUAAAGAAGAAUUUCUCAUUGAGUGGUCUAUUAGUGACAUGGUGGACAUGGUCCAAACAGCAAAUUUCACUUCGUCUUCGUGGGGACCACGUAAAUAUAUAUGUAACGAGCCAAAGGUUAUCCGUCACGGUUCGCUUGUCCACACGAAUUUCGCUUACAUUUUCCACCGCACGCUAAGAAAUCCGUCCACGAAAUCUCCACCGUCCAUCAAAACAAUCAGAGCCCCAGAUGCCCCGCGCGAUCCCCCUCCUCCGUCCACGUGGCACUACGGGCUUCCACGUUACCCACUGCCCCCCCCAUCUCAACAUGCGUCGCUCAACCCCCUCCAUCCAGUGCUAACCCGCCACGUGGCUGUUCUCAAUUCGCAUCAUCCACGUGUCAAAAAGCCAACUCCAUUGCACAGUGUUUCGUAUUAAUAGUACGGCACCCGAUCCGUUGAGCGGUCUCUUUCCUGUCCAAAAACUUUUGCCUGCACCUGGUGUAUCAGGACAUCUCAUGAACAAUAUUUUCUAUUUAAUGAUAUGUGUCUUAAAAAUUUAAUGGAUGUAAUUUACAAACACCUACAAAGGCUACACGUAAACAUUUGUUACAUUUUGAAAACUUCAUGUAACCUAGUACCCGAAAGUCAACCUCUAAAAAGAGACUAUUAUUUAAUUUUUAAAAAUAAUUGGCCUCGAGAAUUUAAAAUUUUGACAAAUAGAUAAUUUUCUUAAACAUCUUAGAAUACGUCUAUAUAUUAUAAACUGAUAUUGAGGUUUUAACCGCAUGAUUUAAUUUUUAUUUAGAUAGGUGAAUAUCUUAUUUAACAUAUCUUUUCGAUUGCUUUAGAAGAAUAUAGUAUUUUAUGUACAAGAUGUGUGAUUGAAUAUUAGAAUGACAUACUAUAUUUAGACUUUUAAAAAUCUUUUAAAAAAUAAAAUAAUUAUUUCAUAAAUAAACAUAUUAAUAUAAAUUUCGAGAUUUUUUAAGAAACAAUCAGCCAAAAAAAGUCAUAACUAAUAAGAUAUGAGUUUAGCUAUAAUACUUUUAAGAAUACUAACUUAUUAUUCACAAACUUCUAAUUUUGUAAUCUUUGUAUUAAUUUCUAUUAUGCCUACCAUCGCUAAACAUUAUGCAUCCGAGCACUAUAAAGUGAAUAAUAAAUAUUUUUGGAAAUAUUACAGCCCUAUUCAAGCCGUUUGGCUUAGAUUUUAAAUAAAUAACUUUUGCAGAAUUGAUUUUAUUUUAGAAAAUUAAUUUUGGUUAAAAUUUAAAAUUUAAAAUUUAAGAUUUGUAAUUUGAAAAUCAAAACUUAUAAUUAUACAUUUAAAAGUUUAAAGUUUCAAAUUUUAUAUUUUAGAAUUUAAGAUGAAGUAUAAAUUUAAAAUUUAAAAUUAAAUAUUUAAAUUUAAAUUUAAUAAUUGGAUCUAAAAUAAGUUUGAGUGGAAAAUGAGAAUUAGAUUUCAAUAAGCAACAUUUAGAUGUUUCUGAUUUUGAAUGUAGAAAAUUAAGAAAUUAAUUAAAUUUUAGAAAUAAUUUUGCCAAAUGCUGGAGUGGGAAAUCAUUUUUGGGCUCAAAAUUAAGGGGGUGUUUGGCCUAGCUUUUAAAAAGCGCUUCUGGGCUGAAAAGUGAUUUUCGGCUCAAUAGAGCGUUUGGCAACUCACUUUUAAAAUAUGAUUCUACUUUUUAGAAUCAGAAAACUGAUUUUGAAAGCCCCAGAAUCAGAAGCAGAAAAAAGCUGCUUCUUGAAAUCUGAUUUUGAUUUUGGAUUUAAACUUCAAAUUUUUAUUUUUAUUUUUAUUUUAAUUUCAAUACUUAAAUUUAAAUUUAAUUUUAAAUUUCAAUUUUCAGAUUCAUUUUUGAAUUUUUAAAUUUUAAAUUUUGAAAAAUAGAUUUCAUAACUUUAAAAUGUUAAAUUUUAAUUUUAAUUAAUCUCAAAUUUCAAAUUUAAGAUAAAAUUUAAAAUUUGACAUUUUAGAUUUUAAAAUUUAAAUGUAAAUAUUUAAAAUUUUUAAAUUUUAAAUUAUAAUAUUUAAUCUUCAAAUUAUAAAUUUCGAAUUUUUAAAAUUUAAAUUUUUUAAUUUUUAAAUUUUAAAUAUUAAUAUUUUAUAUUUUAUAAUUCAUAAUUAUUUAUAUUUUUACAUUUAAGUUUUAAAUUUUAAAUUUUAAAUUUCAAUUUUUAAAUUUAGAUUUUAAAUAUUUUAAACUUUAAAUUUUUAAAAUUUUAAAUAAUUUUUUAAAUUCAAAUAUCAAAUUUUAAAUUUCGUACAAUUUUGAAAUUUAAAAAUUUUAAUUUUAAUUCAAAUUUAAAUUUAGAUUUUAAAUUAUUUUAAAAUAAAAUUUAAUAAAAAUAUUAAUUUAUGCAAACUUCAANAAUUAUUUUUUAAAUUAAAAUAUCAAAUUUUAAAUUUUGUACAAUUUUGAAAUUUAAAAAUUUUAAUUUUAAUUCAAAUUUAAAUUUAGAUUUUAAAUUAUUUUAAAAUAAAAUUUAAUAAAAAUAUUAAUUUAUGUAAACAUCAAAAAAAAUUUGCCAAACAACUUUUCAAAAUCACUUCAGAAAAAUCACUUUUAUCUAAACUCCGCCAAACGCUCUAUAACUUUUAACCAAAAUCAAUUUUUCAGAAAUCACUUUCAAGAAGCUAGGCCAAACAGGCCCUAAGCUUAGGCCAAACUGUCAAACACCACUUGGAGCCUAAUAAAAAGAAGCGUGGUGAGUGUAGCAGUGUUACUACUACAGACGCACCUGGUGCAUGCAACAAUAUCUGCUUUUCUUUCUGUUUCUUUUUCCCCACUGAGCGACUGCUGCUGCUACACAUCUGCUAUGCCGAUCAGCGAAUUUAAUGGAUCCGCCGCGCCUACUACAGUACUACUACGCCCUCUCUCUCUCUCAUUAUUAUCUAUCUCUCUCUCUCUCUCUGCCUUAAUUGGUGCUCCUGCUGCUACAGCUAUUAUUAGUCGCCAUUAAACCCCUCCUCUCUCAGAUCCCUUUCCUUCGUGCACCCUCCUUAUGUCAUCUCCCUCCUCCUCCUCCUCCUCCUCCUCCUCCCCGUUCGGCUCCUCGAUCCCCUUCUCCUUCCUCUCGCCGCCUAGGGAAAAACUCCGAUCCCCUCUCCCACUCCUGCAUUACCCGAUCUCUCGGAUCGGCCUCGUUUGACUCGUGAGCUCGGUCGAGGAAGGGAGAGGGAGAUGAACCCGCUGUGUUGCAUCGCCCCCGUCUCCCUCGAUCGCGGCGGCGAGCACGGGAACGUAGCGCCGCCGCCGGCGGCGCUGAAGCCGCGUGCGCCGCCGGGGGCUCAGAUCCCCGUGAGGAGCAGCCUGUCGAGCAAGCAGN